UGUUUUUAUCCAAAAAGACAUUAGUUUGUAAAAAAAAAAUCAUUUAUACAAGAGUUUGUAUUUUGUAAUCUUAUCGUUAUUUUUCUUUGAAAUAGUAUAUACAGUCUUGAUAGGGCAAAAAAAUUUAAGGGAAAAUUGAUUAAUUUUAACAAAUAAUAUAUCGUCGAGUAAUAAGUCUUACCAGCGUAAUGACUUUGACUGAUAGACCACAAACUAACUGGUAUAAUAAUGGCUCUAUUGUAAUGGAUGGUGCGAGAGCGGAGUGAUUAGUAAAUAAUGGAGAACCAGGUGUCAGGAUAUUAUCCGAAGGUUUGAGAUGGCCAGGGGCCAUAUAAAGCAUACAGAGUCGAAACCCCCAUUGGGGCUCCAAAAAGUGUGAUUGGGUUGUGCUUAUUAUGGUAUAUGAAUGGCAAGUGGAUUGAACAUGCUUUAGUAGCAAGAAACAGAAGCUACUGGUUUUUUAAGACUUUUAAGGUACCGUACAUAGCUAUUAUGAUUUAUGAGGGUUUGAUCAAGAACAAAGUGAUUUUUGAGGGUUUGAUCAAGGGCGAAGAAACAACGGUGAAGGCUGCUGAUAAUAUGUUGUCUGAUGGUUGCUAAUUGCAUAGUGAAUUUGAUUUUUUUUUUUUUCUCAUUAUGCGUACAGUUGAUGGCCGAUGGGAUUCCCUACCUCACGAAUCACUCGCUUGCUUUUUUGUACCACUAAUGAUUUUUCCAGUGACUGUUAUUUUCAUUAGCUUUUUUUUUUUCGCCCCCAAUUCACUUCUUGUUCAGUUGUUUCAGUUUAGUGUUUUAAGAUAUUUUGAGAGAUAAGGUUAACUGUGUUCUUCC
Molecule: long non-coding RNA, 831 nt
Filed under: Citrus sinensis (sweet orange)
Lineage: Eukaryota; Viridiplantae; Streptophyta; Magnoliopsida; Sapindales; Rutaceae
Description: long non-coding RNA (CSIN_LNC001736)
Source: RNAcentral